GAUGAACGCUGGCGGCGUGCUUAACACAUGCAAGUCGAACGGAAAGGCUCCUGCUUGCAGGGGUACUCGAGUGGCGAACGGGUGAGUAACACGUGGGUGAUCUGCCCUGCACUUCGGGAUAAGCCUGGGAAACUGGGUCUAAUACCGGAUAGGUCCACAUUUUGGAUGGUGUGGUGGAAAGUUUUUCGGUGUGGGAUGAGCUCGCGGCCUAUCAGCUUGUUGGUGGGGUAAUGGCCUACCAAGGCGUCGACGGGUAGCCGGCCUGAGAGGGUGUACGGCCACAUUGGGACUGAGAUACGGCCCAGACUCCUACGGGAGGCAGCAGUGGGGAAUAUUGCACAAUGGGCGCAAGCCUGAUGCAGCGACGCCGCGUGGGGGAUGACGGCCUUCGGGUUGUAAACUCCUUUCGCUAGGGACGAAGCGCAAGUGACGGUACCUGGAGAAGAAGCACCGGCUAACUACGUG
This 465-nucleotide ribosomal RNA is filed under the name uncultured bacterium. RNAcentral describes it as "partial 16S ribosomal RNA". It matches the Rfam family "Bacterial small subunit ribosomal RNA", at positions 28 to 507 of the family's 1533-position model. The record is from RNAcentral.